Molecule: non-coding RNA, 468 nt
Organism: Meleagris gallopavo (turkey)
Lineage: Eukaryota; Metazoa; Chordata; Aves; Galliformes; Phasianidae
Source: RefSeq, a predicted model, not a curated record
UUUAACCGUGUACUCUUCCUCCAGUGCCUUACGUUCCGUGAUAUUUCACCGCAAGCUCCUACGCUUUUUCCCAGCCGUGCACGGGAAGGCUGUUAUCAGGUUAUCUGAAGCAGAAGAUUCUGGCGCACCUCUUCAUAGUCGUUUGGUGACUGUUGGCGAGAAGUGUGCUGCUAACUUGGGCCUGACCGAUGGAUUCCAGAUGGCUGUGAGAUAGCCACCCUCAGGCCCUUCAGUCUACCGCACGCGUCUCCGUAUUCUGGGUGGCUGUCAGUUGGGCCAGCCUCCUGGCUAAGAUGUUUGCACCGCAGUAGUUGCUGCACGCGUACGGAUCGCCACCGAAUGGAUGUCACAUGUUGCCCGUCAGUCUAGCCACCGUUGACAUAUCAUUGUUUUUGGUGGGUGCCUGUGGAGGGUAACGAAAAGCUUUGAGCAGCAUUUGCACAAUAAAGAUGGAGCAUGGGGAUAUCA